Molecule: ribosomal RNA, 219 nt
Filed under: uncultured Mycoplasma sp.
Lineage: Bacteria; Bacillati; Mycoplasmatota; Mollicutes; Mycoplasmatales; Mycoplasmataceae
Description: partial 16S ribosomal RNA
Rfam family: Bacterial small subunit ribosomal RNA
Source: RNAcentral
GGUAGUCCACGCCGUAAACGAUGAUCAUUAACUGGCGGAGAUAUUCGCUGGUACAGCUAACGCAUUAAAUGAUCCGCCUGAGUAGUAUGCUCGCAAGAGUGAAACUUAAAGGAAUUGACGGGGAUCCGCACAAGCGGUGGAGCAUGUGGUUUAAUUUGAAGAUACGCGUAGAACCUUACCCACACUUGACAUCUUCUGCAAUGCUAUAGAGAUAUAGCG